AGUUUGUGAGGGCUGCUGCUGCAGGGGAGAGUGAGAGUGUGCUGCUGGGGAGAGUGAGAGUGUGCUGCUGGGGAAGAGAAAGUUUGUGAGGGCUGCUGCUGCAGGGGAGAGUGAGAGUGUGCUCCUGGGGAGAGUGAGAGUGUGCUGCUGGGGGAGAGAAAGUUUGUGAGGGCUGCUGCUGCAGGGGAGAGUGAGAGUGUGCUGCUGGGGAGAGUGAGAGUGUGCUGCUGGGGGAGAGAAAGUGUGUGAGGGAAGCUGCUGCUGGGGAGAGUGAGAGUGUGUUGCUGGGGAGAGUGAGAGUGUGUUGCUGGGGGAGAGAAAGUUUGUGAAGGAAGCUGCUGCUGGGGAGAGUGAGAGUGUGUUGCUGGGGGAGAGAAAGUUUGUGAAGGAAGCUGCUGCUGGGGAGAGUGAGAGUGUGCUGCUGGGGAGAGUGAGAGUGUGCUGCUGGGGGAGAGAAAGUGUGUGAGGGCUGCUGCUGCUGGGGAGAGUGAGAGUGUGCUCCUGGAGAGAGUGAGAGUGUGCUGCUGGGGAGAGUGAGAGUGUGCUGCUGGGGGAGAGAAAGUUUGUGAGGGAAGCUGCUGCUGCAGCCACAACCUUCGUGAGAGAGGUCUGCGAACUGUGGACAAAGUAGGUGCCGGAAGCUGGGUGCACGGCAGCAAGUGAUGAGGUGAAGAAAGCUGGAGCAACUGCAAGGAGGAGUAUCGGUGAUGCAGGAGAGGGCCCACACAGAAAAGGGUCUGUGAAAGUCACACCGAGAGGGUUCACCCCGCAUCAGGACAACGACCCCAAACAUAUAGCCAAUAUCAUUAAGAACUAUCUUCAGCGUAAAGAAGAAAAAGGAGUACUGGAAGUGAUGAGAUGGCGCCCACAGAUCCCUGAUCUCAAUAUCCUCCUGCUAUUUGAGUGGCAGAAAGUUUUGCAAUGGACUGCAUUCCCUACUAUGGUGGUAAUUCUCCAUGAACUAUAAAACUUAAAACAUCCCAGCUAAAGAAUCAUUGUUUUUUUUAACAAUCUGAUUAAUUAGUGCUAAUGUGCCCUUAGGAUUUUUCUUGUAUUCAUACAUGUAAUAUUGUGGGCGGUUUUAUGUCUGCUCUGUUGCAACAGUAUAUAUUUUAAUUGUAUCAGCAUAAUAAAUGCAACAUUUUAUCUUUACCAUAUUCAGCUUUUAAGUGCUGUCAGUUCUAUCUUUUGUAUAAUUUCUAUGUGGGAUCAACUAUCCCUUUAACAGCUGCUCUUAGUGAACUCAACUCGUUUCAAGCGCCAAAUAUUUUUACCUUGGUAAAAAAUGUAUUUGCAUCUCAACAUCAUUGAGUCUGUCUGUGAUCACACAAAAAGACCGAAGGAUUUGAGCAAGCCUACAUCCACAGAAGAUCUGUGGUUAGUUCUCCAAGAUGUUUGGAACAACCUUCCUACCGAGUUCCUUCAAAAACUGUUUGCAGGUGUACCUAGAAGAUUUGAUGCUGUUUUGAAGACCAAGGGUGGUCACACCAAAUAUUGAUUUGAUUUAGAUUUCUCUUCUGUUCAUUCACUUUGCAUUUUUUUAUUGAUAAAAAUAAACUCAUCCUAACUCUCUGUUCCACGCUCUCUCUGUACCCCAUCUGUGUCACCCCUGUCUGUCUACCCCUCCCCUUUAGAAUGCAAGCUCUCACGAGCAGGGCCCUCUUCCCUCAUGUGCUUAUCCUUUUUCUUACUUAAAUAAUCUUCAAUGGCACCAAAUCCAGCAGUCUUCUGCCACCUAAUACUUAUUCCAGUGUCAUCUGCUGAUGUAGCUAUGUUUAUUUACCCUGUACUUGUCCUAUAUUAUCAUUAACUGUAAGUUGCUGUUUUCCUGUUUGAUUAUUUGUUUAUGUACUCUGUAAUUUGUUUUCCUGUUUGAUUAUUUGUUUAUGUACUCUGUAAUUGGGCGCUGCUGAACC
Pseudophryne corroboree (corroboree frog) is the source of this 1916-nucleotide long non-coding RNA. RefSeq lists it as uncharacterized. NCBI's taxonomy places the organism in Eukaryota, Metazoa, Chordata, Amphibia, Anura, Myobatrachidae. The record is from RefSeq and is a predicted model, not a curated record. The transcript has 3 exons.